CUUCCCGUUUGACUACCACUCCUUCAGUUUACAGAUUGAGUGGCUAUGCUUAUGGGAUAGAGAAAAUACUGCCAAGAUCUGAAGGAGAAGAUUGACAAUAUCUUUUUCCUAUAUGAAAUGGCAGAACACAGAAUG
Molecule: small nucleolar RNA, 135 nt
Organism: Gopherus agassizii (Agassiz's desert tortoise)
Lineage: Eukaryota; Metazoa; Chordata; Testudines; Testudinidae
Source: Ensembl